UACGUAGGGGGCUAGCGUUGUCCGGAUUUACUGGGCGUAAAGGGUUCGUAGGUGGCCAACUAAGUCAGACGUGAAAUCCCUCAGCUUAACUGGGGAACUGCGUCUGAUACUGGUUGGCUUGAGUGCAGGAGAGGAACGCGGAAUUCCAGGUGUAGCGGUGAAAUGCGUAGAUAUCUGGAGGAACACCGGUGGCGAAGGCGGCGUUCUGGACUGCAACUGACACUGGGGAACGAAAGCCAGGGUAGCAAACGGG
This 253-nucleotide ribosomal RNA is filed under the name uncultured bacterium. Its description in RNAcentral is "partial 16S ribosomal RNA". It matches the Rfam family "Bacterial small subunit ribosomal RNA", at positions 524 to 776 of the family's 1533-position model. The record is from RNAcentral.